UGGCGAACGGGUGAGUAACACGUGGGUGAUCUGCCCUGCACUCUGGGAUAAGCCUGGGAAACUGGGUCUAAUACCGGAUAGGACCAUGCUUUAGUGUGUGUGGUGGAAAGCUUUUUCGGUGUAGGAUGAGCCCGCGGCCUAUCAGCUUGUUGGUGGGGUAAUGGCCUACCAAGGCGGUGACGGGUAGCCGGACUGAGAGGUUGGUCGGCCACAUUGGGACUGAGAUACGGCCCAG
Molecule: ribosomal RNA, 235 nt
Filed under: uncultured Actinomycetales bacterium
Lineage: Bacteria; Bacillati; Actinomycetota; Actinomycetes; Actinomycetales
Description: partial 16S ribosomal RNA
Rfam family: Bacterial small subunit ribosomal RNA
Source: RNAcentral